This 917-nucleotide ribosomal RNA is filed under the name Subulicystidium perlongisporum. RNAcentral describes it as "partial large subunit ribosomal RNA". It matches the Rfam family "Eukaryotic large subunit ribosomal RNA", at positions 32 to 965 of the family's 3401-position model. Lineage: Eukaryota; Fungi; Basidiomycota; Agaricomycetes; Trechisporales; Hydnodontaceae. The record is from RNAcentral.
AACUAAGCAUAUCAAUAAGCGGAGGAAAAGAAACUAACAAGGAUUCCCCUAGUAACUGCGAGUGAAGCGGGAAGAGCUCAAAUUUGAAAUCUGGCGGCUCCGCCGUCCGAGUUGUAAUCUGGAGAAGCGUUUUCCGUGCCGGACCGUGUACAAGUCCCUUGGAACAGGGCGUCAUAGAGGGUGAGAAUCCCGUCUUUGACACGGACUCCCGGUGCUCUGCGAUGCGCUCUCGAAGAGUCGAGUUGUUUGGGAAUGCAGCUCAAAAUGGGUGGUAAAUUCCAUCUAAAGCUAAAUAUUGGCGAGAGACCGAUAGCGAACAAGUACCGUGAGGGAAAGAUGAAAAGCACUUUGGAAAGAGAGUAAAACAGUACGUGAAAUUGUUGAAAGGGAAACGCUUGGAGUCAGUCGCGUCUUCUGGAACUCAGCCUUGCUUCUGCUAGGUGCACUUUCCAGUUUGACGGGUCAGCAUCGGCUUUGGGAGGCGGACAAAGGCGYGGGGAAGGUGGCAGCUCCGGCUGUGUUAUAGCCCCGCGUUGUACGCGUCUCCCGGGACCGAGGAAUCCGGCGCUCGUCGCCUGGGAUGCUGGCGUAAUGGCUUUAAGCGACCCGUCUUGAAACACGGACCAAGGAGUGCUACAUGCUCGCGAGUGUUUGGGUGGAAAACCCGAGCGCGCAAUGAAAGUGAAAGUCGAGACCCUUUGCGGGGGCACCGACGCCCGAGCCUGAAGUUUACGGACGGCCUUGCGGUAGAGCGAGUAUGUUGCGACCCGAAAGAUGGUGAACUAUUCCUGAGGAGGGCGAAGCCAGAGGAAACUCUGGUGGAGGCUCGUAGCGGUUCUGACGUGCAAAUCGAUCGCAGGACUUGGGUAUAGGGGCGAAAGACUAAUCGAACCAUCUAGUAGCUGGUUCCUGCCGAA